GACGAACGCUGGCGGCGUGCUUAACACAUGCAAGUCGAACGGAAAGGCCUGCUUUCCCUUGUGGAUUGCGGGUACUCGAGUGGCGAACGGGUGAGUAACACGUGAGUGAUCUGCCCCCAACUUGGGUAUAAGCCUGGGAAACUGGGUCUAAUUCCCGAUAGGACUGCAGGGUGGUGCCUGUGGUGGAAAACGAUUUUCUAGUGGUUGGGGAUGAGCUCGCGGCCUAUCAGCUUGUUGGUGGGGUAAUGGCCUCCCAAGGCGGCGACGGGUAGCCGGCCUGAGAGGGUGGACGGCCACAUUGGGACUGAGAUACGGCCCAGACUCCUACGGGAGGCAGCAGUGGGGAAUAUUACACAAUGGGCGGAAGCCUGAUGCAGCGACGCCGCGUGGGGGAUGACGGCCUUCGGGUUGUAAACUCCUUUCGACCGCGAGGAAGCCACCUGGUUGGAAGGGUGGUGACGGUAGUGGUAGAAGAAGCACCGGCUAACUACGUG
Molecule: ribosomal RNA, 494 nt
Filed under: uncultured bacterium
Lineage: Bacteria
Description: partial 16S ribosomal RNA
Rfam family: Bacterial small subunit ribosomal RNA
Source: RNAcentral